GAGAGGAGGCAAGGGAGUCGGCGGUGUCGGCAGCGAGGGCUAAGCUCGCUAAGGCCGCCUAUAACGGCCCCACCUCGUGUGGUGGCUCGAGCGGAGCGAGCCUAGGUAGGAAGGGAGGCCGUUCUAAAGGGGGAUAGCUGGAGUUGACGAACGGGUUUUGGUGAAGGGCACGAUCCCAAAGAAGCCGUAGGCCGUAGCGGAAGUAGCAGCCGGGAAGAUGCCGGCGGAUACCGCGGAGAAGAGGCAGCAGAUGUCGCGGGGGUGCGCGCGGGAGCGAAGGACUACCAGGUGGAGCUCGUCCCGUCGUGCCUCCUGGAGUAGGGCAUCCUAGGUACCUGCGCCGCGUGGGACAUCGGCGGGCAGGCCCUACUCCCACCCGUGGCACCGAACAGGACGAGCUGCUGUCGACGCCGCUCACGCACACGACGAGGAGUAGGAGUUUGAGGUUCCUCUUCGCGGUCAUGUUGUAUUCGUGCGGGGCGGGGACUUGUUACCGGUACCGCGAUCCAUUC
This 512-nucleotide ribosomal RNA is filed under the name Triticum aestivum (bread wheat). RNAcentral describes it as "partial small subunit ribosomal RNA". Lineage: Eukaryota; Viridiplantae; Streptophyta; Magnoliopsida; Poales; Poaceae. The record is from RNAcentral.